RNAcentral lists this non-coding RNA (30 nucleotides) under Homo sapiens (human). Lineage: Eukaryota; Metazoa; Chordata; Mammalia; Primates; Hominidae. The record is from RNAcentral.
GACCUCAAGGGAAUGUAGAGAAGCCUCAGG